ACAAAGGGCGCGCGGUGGAUGCCUUGGGGCAAAGGGCCGAUGAAGGACGCGGUAAGCGGCGAUACGCCAGGGGGAGCUGCAAUCAAGCUUAGAUCCCUGGAUUUCCGAAUGGGGUAACCCACUACAGUGAUCCUGUAGUACUCCCAGAUGAACACAUAGUCUGGGUAGAGGGCAGCCGGUGAACUGAAACAUCUAAGUAACCGGAGGAAGAGAAAACAAAAGUGAUUCCGUUAGUAGUGG
RNAcentral lists this ribosomal RNA (240 nucleotides) under Chloropicon mariensis. RNAcentral's name for it is "partial Bacterial large subunit ribosomal RNA". It matches the Rfam family "Bacterial large subunit ribosomal RNA", at positions 10 to 249 of the family's 2925-position model. The record is from RNAcentral. Lineage: Eukaryota; Viridiplantae; Chlorophyta; Chloropicophyceae; Chloropicales; Chloropicaceae.